Molecule: ribosomal RNA, 512 nt
Filed under: Sinorogomphus suzukii
Lineage: Eukaryota; Metazoa; Arthropoda; Insecta; Odonata; Chlorogomphidae
Description: partial 16S rRNA
Rfam family: Bacterial large subunit ribosomal RNA
Source: RNAcentral
GUCUUCUUGAAUAUAUAGGAAGUCUGACCUGCCCGGUGAAUAAGUAUUUAACGGCCGCGGUAUUUUGACCGUGCAAAGGUAGCAUAAUCAUUAGUCUUUUAAUAGAGGGCUGGAAUGAAGGGUUUGACGAAAUGCUUACUGUCUCAUUUAAUUUGGAAUUUGAAUUUAACUUUUUAGUUAAAAGGCUAAAUUGUUGUUGGAAGACGAGAAGACCCUAUAGAGCUUUAUAGUUUAAAAUUUAAAAAAUUUUUGGUGAAUUACUAUUUUUUAAAUGGAUAAUUAUUUUGUUGGGGUGACAAGAAUAUAUGAUAAACUUUUUUAUUUUAAUAACAUUGAUUUAUGAUUAUUAGAUCCAUUAUUAUUGAUUGAUAGAGAAAGUUACCUUAGGGAUAACAGCGUAAUCUUCCUUCAGAGUUCAAAUUUACAGGAAGGCUUGCGACCUCGAUGUUGGAUUAAGAUAAUAAUUAGGUGUAGCCGCUUAAUUAAUAGGUCUGUUCGACCUUUAAAUUCUU